This 117-nucleotide ribosomal RNA is filed under the name Trichocoleus sp. FACHB-46. Lineage: Bacteria; Bacillati; Cyanobacteriota; Cyanophyceae; Leptolyngbyales; Trichocoleusaceae. RNAcentral also lists the same sequence under 1 other name. The record is from RNAcentral.
CCUGGUGUUCAUGGCACGGUGGAACCACACUGACCCAUCCCGAACUCAGAGGUGAAACGCUGUAGCGGCGACGAUACUUUGGGGGCAGCCCCACGGGACAAUAGCUCGAUGCCAGGG